This 168-nucleotide ribosomal RNA is filed under the name uncultured rumen bacterium. Its description in RNAcentral is "partial 16S ribosomal RNA". It matches the Rfam family "Bacterial small subunit ribosomal RNA", at positions 340 to 524 of the family's 1533-position model. The record is from RNAcentral.
UACGGGAGGCAGCAGUGGGGGAUAUUGCGCAAUGGGGGCAACCCUGACGCAGCAACGCCGCGUGAAGGACGAAGGUCUUCGGAUUGUAAACUUCUUUUGUCAGGGACGAAGAAUGACGGUACCUGACGAAUAAGCUCCGGCUAACUACGUGCCAGCAGCCGCGGUAAU